This 658-nucleotide ribosomal RNA is filed under the name uncultured Carnobacteriaceae bacterium. Its description in RNAcentral is "bacterial SSU rRNA". It matches the Rfam family "Bacterial small subunit ribosomal RNA", at positions 64 to 699 of the family's 1533-position model. The record is from RNAcentral. Lineage: Bacteria; Bacillati; Bacillota; Bacilli; Lactobacillales; Carnobacteriaceae.
GGUCUUUUCUAUGGAAGCUUGCUUCCACUGAGAAGAUAGUGGCGGACGGGUGAGUAACACGUGGGUAACCUGCCCAUAAGAGGGGGAUAACAUCCGGAAACGGGUGCUAAUACCGCAUAGUUUUCUUGAUCGCAUGAUUGAGAAAGGAAAGACGGCCUUUGUGCUGUCGCUUAUGGAUGGACCCGCGGCGUAUUAGUUAGUUGGUGAGGUAACGGCUCACCAAGACGAUGAUACGUAGCCGACCUGAGAGGGUGAUCGGCCACAUUGGGACUGAGACACGGCCCAAACUCCUACGGGAGGCAGCAGUAGGGAAUCUUCCGCAAUGGACGAAAGUCUGACGGAGCAACGCCGCGUGAGUGAAGAAGGUUUUCGGAUCGUAAAACUCUGUUGUCAGAGAAGAACAAGUCGGAGAGUAACUGCUCCGGCCUUGACGGUAUCUGACCAGAAAGCCACGGCUAACUACGUGCCAGCAGCCGCGGUAAUACGUAGGUGGCAAGCGUUGUCCGGAUUUAUUGGGCGUAAAGCGAGCGCAGGCGGUUCCUUAAGUCUGAUGUGAAAGCCCACGGCUCAACCGUGGAAGGUCAUUGGAAACUGGGGAACUUGAGUGCAGAAGAGGAGAGUGGAAUUCCAUGUGUAGCGGUGAAAUGCGUAGAUAUAU